This is a non-coding RNA of Ochotona princeps (American pika), 840 nucleotides long. The record is from the annotation of a RefSeq genome assembly. Lineage: Eukaryota; Metazoa; Chordata; Mammalia; Lagomorpha; Ochotonidae.
GCAGACAUUUCCCUGGUGCUCGGCUAUGAGAUGAGCUGGUCCCUCCUGCUUUGCACAAAAAUAUCACUUCCACUUCAGAUUUGCAUGUCCCCAGGGCACAUCCCACUGCCCUGCACACAUAUGAGCAGGUGCUCACAGCCUGUGCAGGAGACAGUGCCACUCAGGACACAGCAUGGACAUGAGAGCCCCUGCUCAGCUCCUGGGCCUCCUGCUGCUCUGGCUCCCAGGUGCCAGAUGUGCCACGGUGACCCAGAAUCCAUCUGUGGUGUCUACAGAUGUAGGAGGCACAGUCACCAUCAAUUGCCAGACAAGUGAGAGUGUUUUCCUCAACACUCUUCUAUCCUGGUAUCAGCAGCAACCAGGGCAACCUCCUAAACUCGUGAUCUAUGCUGCAUCCACUUUAGCCGAUGGGAUCCCUGACAGGUUCAAGGGCAGUGGAUCUGGGACAUCAUUCACUCUCACUAUCAGCGGUGUGCAGGCUGCAGAUGCAGGAACCUACUACUGUCAAGGGGAAUUUGCUUGUAGUGCGGGUGAUUGUAUUCCCACAGUGAUACAAACCUGAACAAAAACUACCCAGAAAAGCAGAAGUGUUAGCCUUGCCUGCCCCAGCAGCUCCUCCUGGGGCCUCCGUCUUCCAAGAGUCAUUUUAUGAUGCAGUCAGACUUCCAUGGUCCCUGAAAGUAAGAAAUGUUCCUGGGACUUCUUUUGUAGCCUCUCUUUCUUCCUACUUGGCACCUGCAUCACGGAUAUGUCCAUGCUUCUACUGAUGUAAAGGAAAGAAGUGAUUAUGCCUGAGUACUCAAUGUUACAACAUCAUUGUGGAUUCAUAGAGUAAAGAGG